GUGCUCACUUCAACAGCACAUAUAAAAAGAUGAGAACAAGACGGAGAAGAUUAGCAUGGUCCUAUCCAAGGAUGGCUUACACUUCUGUAAGGAAGUUCCUCUUAGU
This 106-nucleotide small nuclear RNA is filed under the name Vulpes vulpes (red fox). The record is from RNAcentral. Lineage: Eukaryota; Metazoa; Chordata; Mammalia; Carnivora; Canidae.